UGAUGGUAGAGGCGCACGACUCAAGAUUAGAUAUCCUGAUGCAGGGUAAGCAUAAGACGGAUAUCGAAAGGGGGAAGUGCCGAAGAGGUAUCACGACCCGGUGAUAUUUUCUGGUUGCAUGGUUAACAGCCAUUCGACUGUCAUCUAACGAUGGAGAGCUACCUUU
This 166-nucleotide non-coding RNA is filed under the name bovine gut metagenome. RNAcentral describes it as "Lysine riboswitch". It matches the Rfam family "Lysine riboswitch aptamer". From Rfam's summary of the family: Riboswitches are metabolite binding domains within certain messenger RNAs that serve as precision sensors for their corresponding targets. Allosteric rearrangement of mRNA structure is mediated by ligand binding, and this results in modulation of gene expression. This family includes riboswitches that sense lysine in a number of genes involved in lysine metabolism, including lysC. RNAcentral also lists the same sequence under 1 other name. The record is from RNAcentral.